AACGAACGCUGGCGGCAUGCCUAACACAUGCAAGUCGAACGAAGGCUUCGGCCUUAGUGGCGCACGGGUGCGUAACGCGUGGGAAUCUGCCCUUUGGUUCGGAAUAACAGCUGGAAACGGCUGCUAAUACCGGAUGAUGACGAAAGUCCAAAGAUUUAUCGCCAGAGGAUGAGCCCGCGCUGGAUUAGGUAGUUGGUGGGGUAAAGGCCUACCAAGCCGACGAUCCAUAGCUGGUCUGAGAGGAUGAUCAGCCACACUGGGACUGAGACACGGCCCAGACUCCUACGGGAGGCAGCAGUGGGGAAUAUUGGACAAUGGGCGCAAGCCUGAUCCAGCAAUGCCGCGUGAGUGAUGAAGGCCCUAGGGUUGUAAAGCUCUUUUACCCGGGAAGAUAAUGACUGUACCGGGAGAAUAAGCCCCGGCUAACUCCGU
RNAcentral lists this ribosomal RNA (432 nucleotides) under uncultured bacterium. RNAcentral's name for it is "partial 16S ribosomal RNA". It matches the Rfam family "Bacterial small subunit ribosomal RNA", at positions 29 to 506 of the family's 1533-position model. The record is from RNAcentral.